CCAGAUAAACGACUUGUCGCUUUUAUUAAAAAAGAGGAAAGUCCGGGCUCUUUGAAGAUACGGUGCCAGGUAAUUCCUGGCGGGGGAAACCCUAGGGAUAGUGCCACAGAAAAUAAACCGCCUCAACAAGGCAAGGGUGAAAAGGUGUGGUAAGAGCACACCGGCUACACUGGUAACAGUUAGCGCAUGGAAAACCCCACUGGGAGCAAGACCGAAUAGAGAUGACAUUGUUUUAUACUAAAAGCAAUCUUCAGCUAGUCAUCAGGGUUGGUCGCUUGAUCUCAAAAGUGAUUUUGAGACUAGAUAAAUGAUAGGUUUAAAUGACAGAACCCGGCUUACAGUUUAUCUGGCAAA
RNAcentral lists this RNase P RNA (354 nucleotides) under Candidatus Pelagibacter sp. TMED166. RNAcentral's name for it is "RNase P RNA component class A". It matches the Rfam family "Bacterial RNase P class A". Rfam says of the family: Ribonuclease P (RNase P) is a ubiquitous endoribonuclease, found in archaea, bacteria and eukarya as well as chloroplasts and mitochondria. The record is from RNAcentral. Lineage: Bacteria; Pseudomonadati; Pseudomonadota; Alphaproteobacteria; Candidatus Pelagibacterales; Candidatus Pelagibacteraceae.